Molecule: ribosomal RNA, 427 nt
Filed under: uncultured Methylophilaceae bacterium
Lineage: Bacteria; Pseudomonadati; Pseudomonadota; Betaproteobacteria; Nitrosomonadales; Methylophilaceae
Also listed under: 1 other name
Description: bacterial SSU rRNA
Rfam family: Bacterial small subunit ribosomal RNA
Source: RNAcentral
UGGGGAAUUUUGGACAAUGGGCGAAAGCCUGAUCCAGCCAUUCCGCGUGAGUGAAGAAGGCCUUCGGGUUGUAAAGCUCUUUCGCAAGGGAAGAAACGAUGCAGUCGAAUAAACUGUGUUAAUGACGGUACCUUGAUAAGAAGCACCGGCUAACUACGUGCCAGCAGCCGCGGUAAUACGUAGGGUGCAAGCGUUAAUCGGAAUUACUGGGCGUAAAGCGUGCGCAGGCGGUUUUGUAAGUCAGAUGUGAAAUCCCCGAGCUCAACUUGGGAACUGCGUUUGAAACUACAAGACUAGAAUAUGUCAGAGGGGGGUAGAAUUCCACGUGUAGCAGUGAAAUGCGUAGAGAUGUGGAGGAAUACCAAUGGCGAAGGCAGCCCCCUGGGAUAAUAUUGACGCUCAUGCACGAAAGCGUGGGGAGCAAACA